Molecule: ribosomal RNA, 484 nt
Filed under: uncultured bacterium
Lineage: Bacteria
Description: partial 16S ribosomal RNA
Rfam family: Bacterial small subunit ribosomal RNA
Source: RNAcentral
AUUGAACGCUGGCGGCAUGCUUUACACAUGCAAGUCGAACGGCAGCGCGGGCUUCGGCCUGGCGGCGAGUGGCGAACGGGUGAGUAAUGCAUCGGAACGUGCCCUGUAGUGGGGGAUAGCCCGGCGAAAGCCGGAUUAAUACCGCAUACGACCUGAGGGUGAAAGCGGGGGACCGAAAGGCCUCGCGCUAUUGGAUCGGCCGAUGUCGGAUUAGCUAGUUGGUGGGGUAAAGGCUUACCAAGGCGACGAUCCGUAGCUGGUCUGAGAGGACGACCAGCCACACUGGAACUGAGACACGGCCCAGACUCCUACGGGAGGCAGCAGUGGGGAAUUUUGGACAAUGGGGGCAACCCUGAUCCAGCCAUGCCGCGUGCGGGAAGAAGGCCUUCGGGUUGUAAACCGCUUUUGUUCGGGAAGAAAUCCUCUGGGCUAAUACCCCGGGGGGAUGACGGUACCGGAAGAAUAAGCACCGGCUAACUACGUG